GAUGAACGCUGGCGGCGUGCUUAACACAUGCAAGUCGAACGGAAAGGCCCUGCUUUUGUGGGGUGCUCGAGUGGCGAACGGGUGAGUAACACGUGAGUAACCUGCCCUUGACUUUGGGAUAACUUCAGGAAACUGGGGCUAAUACCGGAUAGGAGCUCCUGCUGCAUGGUGGGCGUUGGAAAGUUUCGGCGGUUGGGGAUGGACUCGCGGCUUAUCAGCUUGUUGGUGGGGUAGUGGCUUACCAAGGCUUUGACGGGUAGCCGGCCUGAGAGGGUGACCGGCCACAUUGGGACUGAGAUACGGCCCAGACUCCUACGGGAGGCAGCAGUGGGGAAUAUUGCACAAUGGGCGGAAGCCUGAUGCAGCAACGCCGCGUGCGGGAUGACGGCCUUCGGGUUGUAAACCGCUUUCGCCUGUGACGAAGCGUGAGUGACGGUAAUGGGUGAAGAAGCACCGGCUAACUACGUG
RNAcentral lists this ribosomal RNA (468 nucleotides) under uncultured bacterium. RNAcentral's name for it is "partial 16S ribosomal RNA". It matches the Rfam family "Bacterial small subunit ribosomal RNA", at positions 28 to 507 of the family's 1533-position model. The record is from RNAcentral.